GAUCAUGGCUCAGGAUGAACGCUAGCGACAGGCUUAACACAUGCAAGUCGAGGGGCAGCGGGGGUAGCAAUACCCGCCGGCGACCGGCGCACGGGUGAGUAACGCGUAUGCAACUUACCUAUCAGAGGGGGAUAACCCGGCGAAAGUCGGACUAAUACCGCAUGAAGCAGGGCCCCGCCAUGGGGAGUAUUUGCUAAAGAUUCAUCGCUGAUAGAUAGGCAUGCGUUCCAUUAGGCAG
This 238-nucleotide ribosomal RNA is filed under the name uncultured bacterium. RNAcentral describes it as "partial 16S ribosomal RNA". It matches the Rfam family "Bacterial small subunit ribosomal RNA", at positions 15 to 248 of the family's 1533-position model. The record is from RNAcentral.